UCAUCAUCCUCACCCAAAACAUGACUGUGAUCUGCGUCCUCAUCUGGACUCUCCUCUGCUGCUGCUUCACAGAGUCCAGAGGACAGGUCACAGUGACUCAGCCUGGAGCAGUGAGCUCUGCUGUGGGAGGAUCUGUCUCCAUCUCAUGUAGAACCAGUCAGGAUGUUUAU
Molecule: non-coding RNA, 170 nt
Organism: Oryzias latipes (Japanese medaka)
Lineage: Eukaryota; Metazoa; Chordata; Actinopteri; Beloniformes; Adrianichthyidae
Source: RefSeq, a predicted model, not a curated record